RNAcentral lists this transfer RNA (53 nucleotides) under Onchocerca ochengi. Its description in RNAcentral is "tRNA-Ser". Lineage: Eukaryota; Metazoa; Nematoda; Chromadorea; Rhabditida; Onchocercidae. The record is from RNAcentral.
GAGUUAAUUUUUUAAGUUUUGAAAACUUUUUUUAGAUUUUGGUCUUUAACUUG